UCUGCAGCGAAGGAGCUGUGUCACAUGCGCUUGCGCACCUGAGACCUCUGCCGCAGGCCACUAACGACUUUGUGUCGCGUCACAGCUCUCAUCAGCGAUCAGCACGGACCCGUCUCUACGCCCCUUAUUUAGAGCGAUGCAGAAGCGUCUUGCGCGGCCCUCCUCAGUAGCAGCCGCGGCUUCCGUUCUUGGCGGGGUAUCGACACCGAUGGGCCCCUCAUCCUCGGGCUCCUCUGUUGCUGCACCUUUCAUGCGGCACUACCGCGCCGGCCUCCUCCGCAGCACGCCGGCCCGCCUCGCCAUGAACCUCCACGCGAGUGAUCUGUCUACUCCGGACAGAGCCACGGUGAACUCCGCCAACAAAAAGGAGUUCAAGACAGCUCUGUGCAACGAGCUGGUGAACAAGAUCACCGCGCAGGGGUACUACCCCAUGUCGCAGUUCGUCAAGGACUGCCUGACCCACCCCCAGUACGGCUACUACGCGGCAAAGAAAAACGUGAUUGGCAGCGAGAAGGCAGACUUCAUCACCGCAGCGGAGAUCCCGUUCUUUGGCGACGUGCUUGCCGCGUGGGUGAUGGACGCCUGGCAGAAGAUGGGUACACCGCGCGUGCUGCAUCUUGUGGAGAUGGGGCCGGGUCGCGGUACCCUCAUGAGGACAAUGCUGAAGCAGAUUCAAUACUCGAACCCGCAUCUGUUGCACUUUCUGCAGAUACACCUCGUCGAGGUCGGUGCCGCGCGGCGCGAGGAGCAGAAGAGAGCUCUGACCGAAUUCCAGACGGCUCAGGGCAAGAUCAAGUGGUGGAUGGACCUGGAAUCGCUGCCCUUUUCGCUCGAGCCAACCGUGUUCAUUGCGAACGAGUACUUUGAUGCGCUACCCGUGGCCCAGUUCCGCUACACCGAACGGGGGUGGGUGGAGACGUGUGUGGAGGUAGAUACGGACCCCGGCACGGAGGCGCACUUCCGCCUUGUCCAUGCCCCGUCCGGGUCGAUGUCCGCCUAUCUCAUCCCUGACGACAUUCGCACCAAGGGCAAGACCGGCGACUGCGUGGAAGUGAACACGGUCGGGAUGCAGACGAUGGAGACGCUCAUGAAAAAGAUGAUAGACUGCCAGAAGGCUGCGUGCCUGCUGAUUGACUACGGCAAGGAUGAUCACAUGCACAGCACGCUGCGCGGAAUCCGUGGCCACCGCUUCGUCGACCCGCUGCUGUCGCCCGGCGAGGUGGAUCUCUCGUGCUGGGUGAGCUUCCGGCAGCUGCGUUGGGCCCUUGAGCGGCUGGAGGUGGCGCGGCGGCACCUCAAGUGGUUCCCGGUGAUGACGCAGCACGACUUCCUGCUCGAGAACGGCAUUGACAUUCGGCUGGCGCACGUGAUCAAGGACGAGGAGACGAAGACAGCAUUGAAAGUGCUGCAGAACUACCGGCGCUUGAUGGACAAGGAGGAGAUGGGAGAGAGCUACAAGGUGUUCGCGUUCCAGACCCGAAACUUCCCGAACGUGUCGCCUUUCUUUGCUGAGAUGCCUCUGCCUCCGCUGCCGCAGAGGGGUGACCGGUAGGCCGAUACAUGCAGUGUUGGGCGCCCUUUCAUGAAGCCUUCUUGUGCCUAGCUGGAUGAGGAGAGUUCG
This 1621-nucleotide unclassified non-coding RNA is filed under the name Leishmania donovani. Its description in RNAcentral is "gene:LdHU3.23.1440(CDS-product:Putative_S-adenosy l-L-methionine-dependent_methyltransferase_putative)". Lineage: Eukaryota; Euglenozoa; Kinetoplastea; Trypanosomatida; Trypanosomatidae. The record is from RNAcentral.